This is a long non-coding RNA of Rattus rattus (black rat), 493 nucleotides long. RefSeq lists it as uncharacterized. NCBI's taxonomy places the organism in Eukaryota, Metazoa, Chordata, Mammalia, Rodentia, Muridae. The transcript has 3 exons. The record is from RefSeq and is a predicted model, not a curated record.
UUCUGCUCCUGUGGUCCCUCUCUACCUGUUGGCUCCCAACUUUCAAAACUGACAACUCCUUACACAAGAAUUCAGCGCCAAGGCACCCUUUAAUAAAAGCGGCUUUUCUGCAGUCGGGAUGUAGUCUAUGAGAGAAGAAUAAAUAAAAAGAAAAAAUACAAUAAAAAUGCAGGGUUUUUUUCCCCUUUAUUUGCCUAGAACGUAGGGAUUAUACACAUCUACCAGACGUACUUUAGGUAUCUGUAUCUGGUCUUCAGAUGUUGAUUGCUGUCAUCAGAACCUUAAUUACUACCAGAUUCCUGCUGCUAUUAAAGCUGCCUCCUAUUUCCCUCAGUCGGUUCUCCUCAUACUACUUCCAGGUGAAUCUCCUAAAAUAAAUUCUUUUAAAAGGUGCUAAGAAACUCGAUGCCUCAGAAAAAAAGGACACGAAGUUAAAGCCGAGCGAGCGAGCGUUCAAGUGGAGAAGGAAGCAGAGGUACUCAAGACAAAACUG